GCUCUGCAGGCAGGGGAGGGCACAAGAACUUGGUUCCUUAUUCUCUGCCCACCAGUGGUACAGUGGACAUGUUCUGGGACCUCUUUUCAGGGCUCAGAUGAGAAGUCUUUGGGGCCUUCAGGUGGGGCACAUUACCUCCUUGGACCGCAUGUCUGCUGUCUUUGACGGGGUUUGGGGCAGAGUGGAUGACACAGGAGUCUGCAGAAGGCUAGACUCUUGUGGCAUAGAUCAAACUUUGGGCUGACUCUGAGGUGGGACAAAAAGUAUGGAUCCAUGGAAAGGAGCAGGAUGUAGACUUUAAGAAUGCCAGUGCCACCAUUUUCCAGUUUUGUGACUUUGAGUAGGUUAUUUCACUUCCCUGGGCCUCAGUUUGCUAAUCUGUAUAGUGGUUACAAUAUACAGCCAGUAAAGAAAAUAGAGUGAUGGAAAUAAUGACUGGGUGGGUGGAUGGGUGGGGGGCUAAGUAAAACAGUAUAACCCUGGAAGGCCUCUUGGAGGACAUAUAUGACCUGAAAUUCAAGGAAAGCAGUCAUUUGGACAUUGGGGAGAAAAGAAAAAUUCUCAGGCCCUGAGAACAAGCUCCUGUUGUUUGGAGAGCAUACAGAAGGGCCAGUGUGGCUGGAGCACAGGGAGCCUAGGGUGUGGUGACCAGGGACAUCAGAGAAUUCCCUUCAACAUUCACGGAGGAACCUGGAUUUUACUGGAAGUGUUGUGGCAGCCCAUUAGAAUUCUCACAGCAAGGGACAGGAGGCUGCAUCCCAGGCCUGGGAGGGGUGUUGGUGCCAGGAGCACGGAACAUGCUAACGGGUUGAGGAAGCUGGGAACGGCUUUAACACUCCUUGAAAGAGUAGAAACAGUUCGGUACCUAGAGGAGGCGUUUAGGGAAUCCCCAACAACAGUGACCCAUAGAAGUGAAACCGCAGGCGUCAGGCACACCCAGCCUGCUGGCAGCGGCGCCCACAGCUUGCUCGUAGAAGGAACACGUGGGAUGAAGUGCUUGGCCCGAAGAAGGGACCGCUGUAGGCUCCGCCCACUCUCACUUCCGCCUCGGCCCUACGCGCCCACAAACCGUUGGUCGCGCAUGCGUAGUGAGCCUGUGUAGGAACAGUGGUGAGCGUUUCUCCGAACCAUAAAUUCCCCAAAUAACCAGUCCAAGGCGCGCAUUUCUUGGACAGGUAAAGAAGGA
Cricetulus griseus (Chinese hamster) is the source of this 1186-nucleotide non-coding RNA. NCBI's taxonomy places the organism in Eukaryota, Metazoa, Chordata, Mammalia, Rodentia, Cricetidae. The record is from RefSeq and is a predicted model, not a curated record.